Molecule: long non-coding RNA, 457 nt
Organism: Pocillopora damicornis (cauliflower coral)
Lineage: Eukaryota; Metazoa; Cnidaria; Anthozoa; Scleractinia; Pocilloporidae
Source: RefSeq, a predicted model, not a curated record
GUUUACGAAUUGUGGAAAGUUUGUGUCUUAUUUUAGCUACUUUGGGGCCAAGAAACACGUCAUUUGCACUUAAUUACUAUGGGUUUCUUCCAUUUGGCUUUAAAAACUGGCGAGUGUUCUCCGAGAUUGGACCGAGCUGUUUGAAUUAGUUGUCGAGGAGUGGUGGAUGUCAUUUUGUCACGAAUUUUCUCAAGAGACAGCUUCAAGCAUAAGGUUAUAACAACAGAAAAGCAGUGAAUUCAAGAAAAAAAAAACGAAGGACUUCAUCCUUUUUCACUUAUACAUGACACAUUGAUAUGAUGAAAGCAAAAACAGGUUGAUGACUCCAACUAAGACUGACAGGUGACGAAUCAAACAAGCAAGUCUACGAUUCAAAAGGAAGAUGAUUUACUUAGUGGUACCAGACAGAUUUAGCGCAUCUCACUCAAGAGAGAGCUACCACUGAUUUUUGCCAAAA